UCCGGUUUGACACCGGCAGUCCCGUUAGAGUGCUCAGCACCCGAAGGCCUGAUGGCAACUAACGGCAGGGGUUUCGCUCGUUAAGGGACUUAACCCGACACUUCACAGCACGAGCUGACGACAGCCAUGCAGCACCUGUGUAUGUUCCACGGCAAGCCGCGUCACUCUGGUUUCUCAGAGCUAAUCCAUACAUGUCAAACCCAGGAUAAGGUUCUUCGCGUUGCUUCGAAUUAAGCCACAUGCUCCACCGCUUGUGUGAGCCCCCGUCAAUUCCUUUGAGUUUUAAUCUUGCGACCGUACUCCCCAGGCGGUGCACUUAAUGUUUUUACGUCGGUCCAGGGGGUGUCAGAACCUCCGAGACCUAGUGCACAUCGUUUACGGCGUGGACUAC
Molecule: unclassified non-coding RNA, 391 nt
Filed under: uncultured Phycisphaeraceae bacterium
Lineage: Bacteria; Pseudomonadati; Planctomycetota; Phycisphaerae; Phycisphaerales; Phycisphaeraceae
Description: contains 16S-23S intergenic spacer region
Source: RNAcentral